CGUGGGUAACCUGCCCAUAAGACUGGGAUAACUCCGGGAAACCGGGGCUAAUACCGGAUAAUAUUUUGAACUGCAUGGUUCGAAAUUGAAAGGCGGCUUCGGCUGUCACUUAUGGAUGGACCCGCGUCGCAUUAGCAGUUGGUGAGGUAACGGCUCACCAAGGCAACGAUGCGUAGCCGACCUGAGAGGGUGAUCGGCCACACUGGGACUGAGACACGGCCCAGACUCCUACGGGAGGCAGCAGUAGGGAAUCUUCCGCAAUGGACGAAAGUCUGACGGAGCAACGCCGCGUGAGUGAUGAAGGCUUUCGGGUCGUAAAACUCUGUUGUUAGGGAAGAACAAGUGCUAGUUGAAUAAGCUGGCACCUUGACGGUACCUAACCAGAAAGCCACGGCUAACUACGUGCCAGCAGCCGCGGUAAUACGUAGGUGGCAAGCGUUAUCCGGAAUUAUUGGGCGUAAAGCGCGCGCAGGUGGUUUCUUAAGUCUGAUGUGAAAGCCCACGGCUCAACCGUGGAAGGGUCAUUGGAAACUGGGGAGCUUGAGUGCAGAAGAAGAAAGUGGAAUUCCAUGUGUAGCGGUGAAAUGCGUACAGAUAUGGAGGAACACCAGUGGCGAAGCGACUUUCU
RNAcentral lists this ribosomal RNA (628 nucleotides) under Bacillus sp. MadhuTT103. RNAcentral describes it as "bacterial SSU rRNA". It matches the Rfam family "Bacterial small subunit ribosomal RNA", at positions 116 to 730 of the family's 1533-position model. The record is from RNAcentral. Lineage: Bacteria; Bacillati; Bacillota; Bacilli; Caryophanales; Bacillaceae.